This 489-nucleotide ribosomal RNA is filed under the name uncultured bacterium. Its description in RNAcentral is "partial 16S ribosomal RNA". It matches the Rfam family "Bacterial small subunit ribosomal RNA", at positions 30 to 507 of the family's 1533-position model. The record is from RNAcentral.
UUGAACGCUGGCGGCAGGCCUAACACAUGCAAGUCGAACGGUAACAGGAAGAAGCUUGCUUCUUUGCUGACGAGUGGCGGACGGGUGAGUAAUGUCUGGGAAACUGCCUGAUGGAGGGGGAUAACUACUGGAAACGGUAGCUAAUACCGCAUAACGUCGCAAGACCAAAGAGGGGGACCUUCGGGCCUCUUGCCAUCGGAUGUGCCCAGAUGGGAUUAGCUAGUAGGUGGGGUAACGGCUCACCUAGGCGACGAUCCCUAGCUGGUCUGAGAGGAUGACCAGCCACACUGGAACUGAGACACGGUCCAGACUCCUACGGGAGGCAGCAGUGGGGAAUAUUGCACAAUGGGCGCAAGCCUGAUGCAGCCAUGCCGCGUGCAUGAAGAAGGCCUUCGGGUUGUAAAGUACUUUCAGCGGGGAGGAAGGGAGUAAAGUUAAUACCUUUGCUCAUUGACGUUACCCGCAGAAGAAGCACCGGCUAACUCCGUG